RNAcentral lists this ribosomal RNA (253 nucleotides) under uncultured bacterium. RNAcentral describes it as "partial 16S ribosomal RNA". It matches the Rfam family "Bacterial small subunit ribosomal RNA", at positions 524 to 776 of the family's 1533-position model. The record is from RNAcentral.
UACGUAGGGUGCAAGCGUUGUCCGGAAUUAUUGGGCGUAAAGAGCUCGUAGGCGGUCUGUCGCGUCGGAUGUGAAAACCCAGGGCUCAACCCUGGGCCUGCAUUCGAUACGGGCAGACUAGAGUUCGGUAGGGGAGACUGGAAUUCCUGGUGUAGCGGUGAAAUGCGCAGAUAUCAGGAGGAACACCCGUGGCGAAGGCGGCUCUCUGGGACGGUACUGACGCUGAGACGCGAAAGCGUGGGGAGCGAACAGG